GAAUUUACAAAUUUCCAACAGUUCCGAAUGCUAGUUUCUUGUUGUAUCGUUGGGUAGUAUCGUGAAUUUGGUAGCAUUCAAAGCAAAUUCACACACGGUAGUAAGAAUACAAAAACAAAAAUCCUAUGUAAUUUGUUUAUGUAAUCCUACGUGUAGUUUCAAAAAGUCAACAACGAAAAUCGUUCAUAUUUAUUUUGUUUGUGUAAAAGAACGUUCGAAAUGCCAAAGCCUAUUUCUCAUAUAUUUUGUUUGUGUAAUUUUUUGGAAUGAAAGGAAGAACAAGCAACUUCACCUUCUGUAAAUUCGCCUUGGCAGCAUUCGAAUGAAAUGCUAUUAUAGAAUAAUGUAGUAGCAUUUACUCGAAUUCGAACGUAGUAGGUGCCCAGGUUCCUCAAGAAAAAAUAAUCGAAAUUUUUCCCAUUAGAUUGCUGGAAAAGAGUACUUUCUAUAAUAAGAAAUAAUAUGGAAUUACUCCCGAAGGUGCGCAAGAUCAAGAAAUGAUUCGUUUUACAGUUAUCGUGUCACUCACCAACACAAGGGACGUGUUUCAGCAACAAUUUCAAGAGCCGCUAUUCAAA
Molecule: long non-coding RNA, 578 nt
Organism: Ceratitis capitata (Mediterranean fruit fly)
Lineage: Eukaryota; Metazoa; Arthropoda; Insecta; Diptera; Tephritidae
Exons: 2
Source: RefSeq, a predicted model, not a curated record